UACGUAGGGUGCAAGCGUUGAUCGGAAUUACUGGGCGUAAAGCGUGCGCAGGCGGUAAUGUAAGACAGAGGUGAAAUCCCCGGGCUCGACCUGGGAACUGCCUUUGUGACUGCAUUGCUAGAGUACGGUAGAGGGGGGUGGAAUUCCGCGUGUAGCAGUGAAAUGCGUAGAUAUGCGGAGGAACACCGAUGGCGAAGGCAGCCCCCUGGACCUGUACUGACGCUCAUGCACGAAAGCAUGGGGAGCAAACAGG
Molecule: ribosomal RNA, 253 nt
Filed under: uncultured bacterium
Lineage: Bacteria
Description: partial 16S ribosomal RNA
Rfam family: Bacterial small subunit ribosomal RNA
Source: RNAcentral